GAUGAACGCUGGCGGCGUGCCUAAUACAUGCAAGUCGAGCGAACAGAUGAGGAGCUUGCUCCUCUGACGUUAGCGGCGGACGGGUGAGUAACACGUGGAUAACCUACCUAUAAGACUGGGAUAACUUCGGGAAACCGGAGCUAAUACCGGAUAAUAUAUUGAACCGCAUGGUUCAAUAGUGAAAGACGGUUUUGCUGUCACUUAUAGAUGGAUCCGCGCCGCAUUAGCUAGUUGGUAAGGUAACGGCUUACCAAGGCAACGAUGCGUAGCCGACCUGAGAGGGUGAUCGGCCACACUGGAACUGAGACACGUUCCAGACUCCUACGGGAGGCAGCAGUAGGGAAUCUUCCGCAAUGGGCGAAAGCCUGACGGAGCAACGCCGCGUGAGUGAUGAAGGUCUUCGGAUCGUAAAACUCUGUUAUUAGGGAAGAACAAAUGUGUAAGUAACUAUGCACGUCUUGACGGUACCUAAUCAGAAAGCCACGGCUAACUACGUG
This 497-nucleotide ribosomal RNA is filed under the name uncultured bacterium. RNAcentral's name for it is "partial 16S ribosomal RNA". It matches the Rfam family "Bacterial small subunit ribosomal RNA", at positions 28 to 507 of the family's 1533-position model. The record is from RNAcentral.